AGAGUUUGAUCAUGGCUCGGAUGAACGCUGGCGGUAUGCUUAACACAUGCAAGUCGAACGGAGGUAGAAUACCUUAGUGGCGGACGGGUGAGUAACGCGUGAGAAUCUGCCUUCAGAUGGGGAUAACAGAGGGAAACUUCUGCUAAGACCCAAUGUGCCGAGAGGGAAACAAAAUUUGCCUGAAGAUGAGCUCGCGUCGGAUUAGCUAGUUGGUAGGUAACGGCUCACCAAGGCGACGAUCCGUAGCUGGUCUGAGAGGAUGACAGCCACACUGGGACUGAGACACGGCCCAGACUCCUACGGGAGGCAGCAUGGGGAAUUUUCCGCAAUGGGCGAAAGCCUGACGGAGCAAUACCGCGUGGGGAGGAAGGCCUUUGGGUUGUAAACCUCUUUUCUCAAGGAAGAAGCGAGACGGUACUUGAGGAAUCAGCAUCGGCUAACUCCGUGCCAGCAGCCGCGUAAGACGGAGGAUGCAAGCGUUAUCCGGAAUGAUUGGGCGUAAAGCGUCGCAGGCGGCUCGUCAAGUCUGUUGUUAAAGAGUGGGGCUUAACCCCAUCGAGCGAUGGAAACUGAGGAGCUAGAGGGUGGUAGGGGUAGAGGGAAUUCCAGUGUAGCGGUGAAAUGCGUAGAUAUUGGGAAGAACACCAGUGGCGAAGCGCUCUACUGGGCCAUGCCUGACACUGAGGGACGAAAGCUAGGGGAGCAAAGGGAUUAGAUACCCCUGUAGUCCUAGCCGUAAACGAUGGCGACUAGCGUUGACCGUAUCGACCCGGACAGUGCCGUAGCUAACGCGUUAAGUUGCCGCCUGGGGAGUACGCUCGCAAGAGUGAAACUCAAAUGAAUUGACGGGG
RNAcentral lists this ribosomal RNA (851 nucleotides) under uncultured Oscillatoriales cyanobacterium. RNAcentral describes it as "bacterial SSU rRNA". It matches the Rfam family "Bacterial small subunit ribosomal RNA", at positions 8 to 918 of the family's 1533-position model. The record is from RNAcentral. Lineage: Bacteria; Bacillati; Cyanobacteriota; Cyanophyceae; Oscillatoriales.